AUAAAUAUUUAAAUGUAUAAGGCCCGGUCUUUUCACCUCCGAAUAAAUAUGCUCUUAUCUGGCAGUUAGCUAUCUGGAGGAUAAAUAUUUAUUCGCCAGAUAAAAUGUACCCGUCUUUUCACGUCAAUUUAUGUUCCAGUUAGUUAUCCGGUAGAUAAGCUUAAAAGUAAGUUUGGAUUCCGAACACACCUGACUUUUAUGUUUAUUUUUAUAAUUUCAGCUUUAACUUAACCUAACAUAAUUAGAUUCAAAGUAUUUCAAAGAUGAUUUUAUCGAUUUUAUUUCCAUUUUGGAAGAAGGAAUGAAGGAAAUAAGGAAAACAUUGAUUAUGCUGAAAUAGUUUACUGGAGAGCUUGAACAAGAGGUAAAUCCAUUUUAAAUUAGAGGAAAACUGUUGAUUUGUAUGUAAAAUAGAAGACAAAGACAAGUUUAAAUAAAGACAAGCUAGCUAAUGAAACAGAUGCAGUGAUAUGACAAACACCUAGAAGAUGGAAUCCUGUGUUCUCAAAGAAAAAGCUAGUUCCAGAAAUAAGCUACCAAUAAUAAA
Molecule: long non-coding RNA, 547 nt
Filed under: Diabrotica virgifera virgifera (western corn rootworm)
Lineage: Eukaryota; Metazoa; Arthropoda; Insecta; Coleoptera; Chrysomelidae
Description: uncharacterized LOC114332674
Source: RNAcentral